This 497-nucleotide ribosomal RNA is filed under the name uncultured bacterium. Its description in RNAcentral is "partial 16S ribosomal RNA". It matches the Rfam family "Bacterial small subunit ribosomal RNA", at positions 28 to 507 of the family's 1533-position model. The record is from RNAcentral.
GAUGAACGCUGGCGGCGUGCCUAAUACAUGCAAGUCUAGCGAACAGACGAGGAGCUUGCUCCUCUGACGUUAGCGGCGGACGGGUGAGUAACACGUGGAUAACCUACCUAUAAGACUGGGAUAACUUCGGGAAACCGGAGCUAAUACCGGAUAAUAUAUUGAACCGCAUGGUUCAAUAGUGAAAGACGGUUUUGCUGUCACUUAUAGAUGGAUCCGCGCCGCAUUAGCUAGUUGGUAAGGUAACGGCUUACCAAGGCAACGAUGCGUAGCCGACCUGAGAGGGUGAUCGGCCACACUGGAACUGAGACACGGUCCAGACUCCUACGGGAGGCAGCAGUAGGGAAUCUUCCGCAAUGGGCGAAAGCCUGACGGAGCAACGCCGCGUGAGUGAUGAAGGUCUUCGGAUCGUAAAACUCUGUUAUUAGGGAAGAACAUAUGUGUAAGUAACUGUGCACAUCUUGACGGUACCUAAUCAGAAAGCUACGGCUAACUACGUG